This 503-nucleotide ribosomal RNA is filed under the name uncultured bacterium. RNAcentral describes it as "bacterial SSU rRNA". It matches the Rfam family "Bacterial small subunit ribosomal RNA", at positions 10 to 507 of the family's 1533-position model. The record is from RNAcentral.
AGUUUGAUCAUGGCUCAGAUUGAACGCUGGCGGCAUGCCUUACACAUGCAAGUCGAACGGCAGCACGGGGGGCAACCCUGGUGGCGAGUGGCGAACGGGUGAGUAACAUAUCGGAACAUACCCUAGAGUGGGGGAUAACGUAGCGAAAGUUACGCUAAUACCGCAUACGAUCUAAGGAUGAAAGUGGGGGAUCUUCGGACCUCAUGCUCAUGGAGUGGCCGAUAUCUGAUUAGCUAGUUGGUGAGGUAAAGGCUCACCAAGGCGACGAUCAGUAGCUGGUUUGAGAGAACGACCAGCCACACUGGAACUGAGACACGGUCCAGACUCCUACGGGAGGCAGCAGUGGGGAAUUUUGGACAAUGGGGGCAACCCUGAUCCAGCAAUGCCGCGUGAGUGAAGAAGGCCUUCGGGUUGUAAAGCUCUUUUGUCAGGGAAGAAACGGUGAGUUCUAAUACAGCUUGCUAAUGACGGUACCUGAAGAAUAAGCACCGGCUAACUACGUG